GCCAGCACUGCAGAGUCAGAAACAUGUGAGAAGCUGUGGUCUAAAAAGGGAAGUCCAAAGGGUCACCAAAGUGAAGGGGCCAGAAGCAGCUAUGGCAGCUGGGAUAUGGAGCCAGGAAUCUGAGAACUGGGGAGGCGACUUCAGCUGCUUCCUGGAACGGGCCAGGACACAGGGAUGAUGUUCCAUGGAUAAGGCUGUGCUGUGCCAGGCGAGGCCCAGACGCACAUCUGGAUGCUUAAACCCCAGCAUACAAUGGCAGCCAGAUGGCUUCAUCUGUCCUUUGAACGUGUCUGUCCUUUUAAAUUCCAGCUUAACGGCCACGUGUUUUAGGCCACUUUUAUCAUCCCAAAAUAGCGCUCUGACCAUGUCUGCAAAGAAGGGCCCCUGAAGCAAACGCAGUGGGCUGGCUGCCAAGGCUGGCAGAAUGAGACACAGUACUUCAAAUAAAUGCAGGGUGUUUGCUUACAGA
Leopardus geoffroyi (Geoffroy's cat) is the source of this 469-nucleotide long non-coding RNA. RefSeq lists it as uncharacterized. NCBI's taxonomy places the organism in Eukaryota, Metazoa, Chordata, Mammalia, Carnivora, Felidae. The record is from RefSeq and is a predicted model, not a curated record. The transcript is spliced from 2 exons.